RNAcentral lists this ribosomal RNA (843 nucleotides) under uncultured Staphylococcus sp. Its description in RNAcentral is "bacterial SSU rRNA". It matches the Rfam family "Bacterial small subunit ribosomal RNA", at positions 53 to 877 of the family's 1533-position model. Lineage: Bacteria; Bacillati; Bacillota; Bacilli; Caryophanales; Staphylococcaceae. The record is from RNAcentral.
ACAUGCAAGUCGAGCGAACAGACGAGGAGCUUGCUCCUCUGACGUUAGCGGCGGACGGGUGAGUAACACGUGGAUAACCUACCUAUAAGACUGGGAUAACUUCGGGAAACCGGAGCUAAUACCGGAUAAUAUAUUGAACCGCAUGGUUCAAUAGUGAAAGACGGUUUUGCUGUCACUUAUAGAUGGAUCCGCGCCGCAUUAGCUAGUUGGUAAGGUAACGGCUUACCAAGGCAACGAUGCGUAGCCGACCUGAGAGGGUGAUCGGCCACACUGGAACUGAGACACGGUCCAGACUCCUACGGGAGGCAGCAGUAGGGAAUCUUCCGCAAUGGGCGAAAGCCUGACGGAGCAACGCCGCGUGAGUGAUGAAGGUCUUCGGAUCGUAAAACUCUGUUAUUAGGGAAGAACAAAUGUGUAAGUAACUAUGCACGUCUUGACGGUACCUAAUCAGAAAGCCACGGCUAACUACGUGCCAGCAGCCGCGGUAAUACGUAGGUGGCAAGCGUUAUCCGGAAUUAUUGGGCGUAAAGCGCGCGUAGGCGGUUUUUUAAGUCUGAUGUGAAAGCCCACGGCUCAACCGUGGAGGGUCAUUGGAAACUGGAAAACUUGAGUGCAGAAGAGGAAAGUGGAAUUCCAUGUGUAGCGGUGAGAUGCGCAGAGAUAUGGAGGAACACCAGUGGCGAAGGCGACUUUCUGGUCUGUAACUGACGCUGAUGUGCGAAAGCGUGGGGAUCAAACAGGAUUAGAUACCCUGGUAGUCCACGCCGUAAACGAUGAGUGCUAAGUGUUAGGGGGUUUCCGCCCCUUAGUGCUGCAGCUAACGCAUUAAGCACUCCGCCUGGG